UAUAGGCACCUUCGUUUAAUUUCAAUUUAGUCUUCUAAUUUGAGUUUCGAAAAAUGGUACGAAAAUGCGGACAGUUGAUUCGUUUCUCGAUAAUAUUAUGACCAAGCAACAUCAAUAUCAACGGAUUAUAUAAUUAUAUAAAAAACUUUUACCAUUAUUAAAAUUUUCAACCAGCAAGGCCAACUAAUUCUAGUGAUUUUUAAUGCUGAGAGAAAUUGUUGACUGAGCACAUUGAUCAACAGAAAAAUCAAAAUGGUGAUGAUUAAAAAAUGUUGCUGUGGGUGUCCAUUGAGAGAAGGCAGUUUAGCAAUGGUAAUUCUUGAUUUAAUAUCGACGUGUUCUUUCAUUAUCUAUCAUGGCGCCAUGACAAACACCUAUAGUAAGCUUAAAUGGAAAAUAU
This is a long non-coding RNA of Planococcus citri (citrus mealybug), 400 nucleotides long. RefSeq lists it as uncharacterized. Lineage: Eukaryota; Metazoa; Arthropoda; Insecta; Hemiptera; Pseudococcidae. The transcript is spliced from 3 exons. The record is from RefSeq and is a predicted model, not a curated record.